UCCUGGGGUUGCGGAUAGAUCAUAACGCUUUGAUUUCUUUAGUUGAAGAGAACUGGAAAGUUCCGUCGUAGAAGGUAAUAACCCUGUAGGCGAAAAGGAAAGAAAAGUAGAUCUACUCCAGAGUACCACGAGACACGUGAAACCUUGUGGGAAGCUGGGAGGACCAUCUCCCAAGGCUAAAUACUACCUAGUGACCGAUAGUGAAGCAGUACCGUGAGGGAAAGGUGAAAAGAACCCCGGAAGGGGAGUGAAAUAGAAUCUGAAACCGUGUGCCUACAAUCGGUCGGAGCACAUUAAAGUGUGACGGCGUACUUUUUGUAGAACGGGCCAGCGAGUUACGAUAUAUAGCAAGGUUAAGCACUUAUGGUGUGGAGCCGAAGGGAAACCGAGUCUGAAUAGGGCAACUAGUUGUAUAUUGUAGACCCGAAACCGGGUGACCUAUCCAUGGCCAGGAUGAAGCGGAAGUAAAAUUCCGUGGAGGUCCGAACCACGUUGGUGUUGAAAAACCAUGGGAUGAGCUGUGGAUAGCGGAGAAAUUCCAAUCGAACUCGGAGAUAGCUGGUUCUCCUCGAAAUAGCUUUAGGGCUAGCGUCGGGUAAUUGAGUAGUGGAGGUAGAGCACUGAAUGGGCUAGGGGCUGACAACAGUUACUGAACCCUAUCAAACUCCGAAUGCCAUAUACUUGUACCCCGGCAGUCAGACUACGAAUGAUAAGAUCCGUGGUCAAAAGGGAAACAGCCCAGACCAUCAGCUAAGGUCCCAAAGUGUAAGUUAAGUGGGAAAGGAUGUGGGAUUUCUAAGACAACUAGGAUGUUGGCUUAGAAGCAGCCACUCAUUUAAAGAGUGCGUAAUAGCUCACUAGUCGAGAGAUCCUGCGCCGAAGAUGUAACGGGGCUCAAACUUACCACCGAAGCUAUGGAUGUGUACUUUGUACACGUGGUAGAGGAGCUUUCUGUACAGGUUGAAGUCAUACCGUAAGGAGUGGUGGACAGUACAGAAGUGAGAAUGCUGGCAUAAGUAGCGAAAAACAAGUGAGAAUCUUGUUGACCGAAUAUCUAA
This 1058-nucleotide ribosomal RNA is filed under the name Clostridium haemolyticum NCTC 9693. RNAcentral describes it as "bacterial LSU rRNA". It matches the Rfam family "Bacterial large subunit ribosomal RNA", at positions 290 to 1348 of the family's 2925-position model. The record is from RNAcentral. Lineage: Bacteria; Bacillati; Bacillota; Clostridia; Eubacteriales; Clostridiaceae.